GUUAGACGCUCGUAGUCGGAUUUCGGGGCGGUCCGACCGGUCUGCCGAUGGGUACGCACUGGUCGGAGCGUCCUUUUUGCCGGAGACCGUGCCUACUCUUAACUGAGCGGGGGCGGGAGACGGCACUUUUACUUUGAAAAAAUCAGAGUGUUUCAAGCAGGCAGCUCGCUCUUGCAUGGAUUAGCAUGGGAUAAUGAAAUAGGACUUUGGUGCUAUUUUGUUGGUCUCGAACACCGAAGUAAUGAUGAGAAGGGACAGUCAGGGGCACUCGUAUUCCGCCGAGAGAGGUGAAAUUCUCAGACCAGCGGAAGACGAACCACUGCGAAAGCAUUUGCCAGGGAUGUUUUCACUGAUCAAGAACGAAAGUUAGGGGAUCGAAGACGAUCAGAUACCGUCGUAGUCUUAACCAUAAACCAUGCCGACUAGGGAUUGGAGGAUGUUCACUGAUUGACUCCUUCAGCACCUUACGGGAAACUAAAGUCUUUGGGUUCCGGGGGGAGUAUGGUCGCAAGGCUGAAACUUAAAGGAAUUGACGGAAGGGCACCACCAGGUGUGGAGCCUGCGGCUUAAUUUGACUCAACACGGGGAAACUUACCAGGUCCAGACAUUUUGAGGAUUGACAGAUUGAGAGCUCUUUCAUGAUUAGAUGGGUGGUGGUGCAUGGCCGUUCUUAGUUGGUGGAGUGAUUUGUCUGGUUAAUUCCGUUAACGAACGAGACCUUAGCCUGCUAAAUAGUGACGCGAACUCUUUGUUCGCGGGCCACUUCU
RNAcentral lists this ribosomal RNA (767 nucleotides) under uncultured eukaryote. RNAcentral describes it as "SSU rRNA". It matches the Rfam family "Eukaryotic small subunit ribosomal RNA", at positions 618 to 1411 of the family's 1831-position model. The record is from RNAcentral.